UAAGGAAUAUUGGUCAAUGGACGCAAGUCUGAACCAGCCAUGCCGCGUGAAGGAUGAAGGUCCUCUGGAUUGUAAACUUCUUUUAUCUGGGACGAAAACGGGAUUUUUAUCUCAAUUGACGGUACCAGAGGAAUAAGCACCGGCUAACUCCGUGCCAGCAGCCGCGGUAAUACGGAGGGUGCGAGCGUUAUCCGGAUUUACUGGGUUUAAAGGGUGCGUAGGUGGGCUUAUAAGUCAGUGGUGAAAUCUCCGAGCUUAACUUGGAAACUGCCGUUGAUACUAUAGGUCUUGAAUUAUCUGGAGGUAAGCGGAAUAUGUCAUGUAGCGGUGAAAUGCUUAGAUAUGACAUAGAACACCAAUUGCGAAGGCAGCUUACUACAUAUAAAUUGACGCUGAGGCACGAAAGCGUGGGGAUCAAACA
Molecule: ribosomal RNA, 421 nt
Filed under: uncultured bacterium
Lineage: Bacteria
Description: bacterial SSU rRNA
Rfam family: Bacterial small subunit ribosomal RNA
Source: RNAcentral